Molecule: ribosomal RNA, 497 nt
Filed under: uncultured bacterium
Lineage: Bacteria
Description: partial 16S ribosomal RNA
Rfam family: Bacterial small subunit ribosomal RNA
Source: RNAcentral
GAUGAACGCUGGCGGCGUGCCUAAUACAUGCAAGUCGAGCGAACGGACGAGAAGCUUGCUUCUCUGAUGUUAGCGGCGGACGGGUGAGUAACACGUGGAUAACCUACCUAUAAGACUGGGAUAACUUCGGGAAACCGGAGCUAAUACCGGAUAAUAUUUUGAACCGCAUGGUUCAAAAGUGAAAGACGGUCUUGCUGUCACUAUUAGCUGCUUUCGCGCUGCUUUAGUUAGUUGUUAAGGUAACGGCUUACCAAGGCAACGAUGCAUAGCCGACCUGAGAGGGUGAUCGGCCACACUGGAAGUGAGACACGGUCCAGACUCCUACGGGAGGCAGCAGUAGGGAAUCGUACGCAAUGGGCGAAAGCCUGACGGAGCAACGCCGCGUGAGCGAUGAAGGUCUUCGGAUCGUAAAACUCUGUUAUUAGGGAAGAACAUAUGUGUAAGUAACUGUGCACAUCUUGACGGUACCUAAUCAGAAAGCAACGGCUAACUACGUG